Long non-coding RNA from Cyprinus carpio carpio, 360 nucleotides. The record is from Ensembl. Lineage: Eukaryota; Metazoa; Chordata; Actinopteri; Cypriniformes; Cyprinidae.
CUCUUAUCAAACAUGUGAAGUUUGGGCAAGAUCGGACAUUUUAUGCCUGAGUUACAAUAACUUUUAUUCCCAUGGCGAGACAUCGAACUUUGUGACGGCGCCAUGGACACGCCCUUUAACGAAAACUCAAGAUCUUCACAAUUUAACAUCGCACAGGCCUUUAGAAUAGAGUGACUGAAAAAAAAAGAAUUAUGUCAUAAAAUUUCUCGGGGUAGUUUGUUACAGCGUAAAAUAUGUCACUUCCUGUUGCCAGUAGGUGGCGCUAUGACUAUAACUGAAUAUGGGCAUAUCAAUCUGUUCAGGUCAGGAGUCUUAUCAAACAUGUGAAGUUUGGGGCAGAUUGGACAUUGUAUGUCUGAG